Molecule: long non-coding RNA, 147 nt
Organism: Octopus sinensis (East Asian common octopus)
Lineage: Eukaryota; Metazoa; Mollusca; Cephalopoda; Octopoda; Octopodidae
Exons: 3
Source: RefSeq, a predicted model, not a curated record
AUGUGAUGUGGUUGUCUGUUCAUGGAUGCUCCAUAGUUGAUGCGUCUAGUUCCUGGAAGGUGAGUGAAAAGACAGUCUUGUCGCAAACACAUCCUCCCACGGAGGGAGUAACGGCAGAUUUUUGGUACCUUUUUGUUUGUGUGUGUG